Molecule: ribosomal RNA, 590 nt
Filed under: uncultured bacterium
Lineage: Bacteria
Description: partial 16S ribosomal RNA
Rfam family: Bacterial small subunit ribosomal RNA
Source: RNAcentral
UGGGGAAUUUUGGACAAUGGGCGAAAGCCUGAUCCAGCAAUGCCGCGUGUGUGAAGAAGGCCUUCGGGUUGUAAAGCACUUUUGUCCGGAAAGAAAUCCUUGGCUCUAAUACAGUCGGGGGAUGACGGUACCGGAAGAAUAAGCACCGGCUAACUACGUGCCAGCAGCCGCGGUAAUACGUAGGGUGCAAGCGUUAAUCGGAAUUACUGGGCGUAAAGCGUGCGCAGGCGGUUUGCUAAGACCGAUGUGAAAUCCCCGGGCUCAACCUGGGAACUGCAUUGGUGACUGGCAGGCUAGAGUAUGGCAGAGGGGGGUAGAAUUCCACGUGUAGCAGUGAAAUGCGUAGAGAUGUGGAGGAAUACCGAUGGCGAAAGGCAGCCCCCUGGGCCAAUACUGACGCUCAUGCACGAAAAGCGUGGGGAGCAAAACAGGAUUAGAUACCCUGGUAGUCCACGCCCUAAAACGAUGUCAACUAGUUGUUGGGGAUUCAUUUCCUUAGUAACGUAGCUAACGCGUGAAGUUGACCGCCUGGGGAGUACGGUCGCAAGAUUAAAAACUCAAAGGAAUUGACGGGGUCAUAGCUGUUUCCU